RNAcentral lists this ribosomal RNA (439 nucleotides) under uncultured bacterium. RNAcentral's name for it is "partial 16S ribosomal RNA". It matches the Rfam family "Bacterial small subunit ribosomal RNA", at positions 338 to 795 of the family's 1533-position model. The record is from RNAcentral.
CCUACGGGUGGCAGCAGUGGGGGAUAUUGCACAAUGGGGGAAACCCUGAUGCAGCGAUGCCGCGUGAAUGAAGACGGCCUUCGGGUUGUAAAGUUCUGUCGCAGGGGACGAAAAUGACGGUACCCUGCAAGAAAGCUCCGGCUAACUACGUGCCAGCAGCCGCGGUAAUACGUAGGGAGCAAGCGUUGUCCGGAAUUACUGGGUGUAAAGGGAGCGUAGGCGGGAGGAUAAGUUGAAUGUGAAAUCUAUGGGCUCAACCCAUAGCUGCGUGCAAAACUGUUCUUCGUGAGUGAAGGAGAGGGAGGCGGAAGUCCUAGGGGAGCGGGGAAAUGCGGAGAUAAUAGGAGGAACACCAGGGGCGAAGGCGGCCUGCUGGGCUUUUACUGACGCGGAGGCUCGAAAGCGUGGGUAGCAAACAGGAUUAGAUACCCGAGUAGUC